Molecule: ribosomal RNA, 497 nt
Filed under: uncultured bacterium
Lineage: Bacteria
Description: partial 16S ribosomal RNA
Rfam family: Bacterial small subunit ribosomal RNA
Source: RNAcentral
GAUGAACGCUGGCGGCGUGCCUAAUACAUGCAAGUCGAGCGAACAGACGAGGAGCUUGCUCCUCUGACGUUAGCGGCGGACGGGUGAGUAACACGUGGAUAACCUACCUAUAAGACUGGGAUAACUUCGGGAAACCGGAGCUAAUACCGGAUAAUAUAUUGAACCGCAUGGUUCAAUAGUGAAAGACGGUUUUGCUGUCACUUAUAGAUGGAUCCGCGCCGCAUUAGCUAGUUGGUAAGGUAACGGCUUACCAAGGCAACGAUGCGUAGCCGACCUGAGAGGGUGAUCGGCCACAAUGGAACUGAGACACGGUCCAGACUCCUAAGGGAGGCAGCAGUAGGGAAUCUUCCGCAAUGGGCGAAAGCCUGACGGAGCAACGGCGCGUGAGUGAUGAAGGUCUUCGGAUCGUAAAACUCUGUUAAUAGGGAAGAACAAAUGUGUAAGUAACUAUGCACGUCUUGACGGUACCUAAUCAGAAAGCCAAGGCUAACUACGUG